RNAcentral lists this transfer RNA (74 nucleotides) under Chloropicon sp. RCC4434. RNAcentral's name for it is "tRNA-Ile". It matches the Rfam family "tRNA". Rfam says of the family: Transfer RNA (tRNA) molecules are approximately 80 nucleotides in length. Their secondary structure includes four short double-helical elements and three loops (D, anti-codon, and T loops). Further hydrogen bonds mediate the characteristic L-shaped molecular structure. tRNAs have two regions of fundamental functional importance: the anti-codon, which is responsible for specific mRNA codon recognition, and the 3' end, to which the tRNAs corresponding amino acid is attached (by aminoacyl-tRNA synthetases). tRNAs cope with the degeneracy of the genetic code in two manners: having more than one tRNA (with a specific anti-codon) for a particular amino acid; and 'wobble' base-pairing, i.e. permitting non-standard base-pairing at the 3rd anti-codon position. The record is from RNAcentral. Lineage: Eukaryota; Viridiplantae; Chlorophyta; Chloropicophyceae; Chloropicales; Chloropicaceae.
GGGCUUGUGGUUUAAUUGGUUAAAAUAGACCGCUCAUAACGGUUAUGAUGUCGGUUCGAGUCCGGCUGAGCCUA